This is a non-coding RNA of Paramuricea clavata, 93 nucleotides long. The record is from the annotation of a GenBank genome assembly. Lineage: Eukaryota; Metazoa; Cnidaria; Anthozoa; Malacalcyonacea; Plexauridae.
UUAUGGUGAUGAAUGAUUAUGGUGAUGCAUGAUGAUGAUGCAUGAUGAUGAUGAUGAUCAUCAUCAUCAUCAUCAUCAUGAUCAUGAUCAUGA